Molecule: long non-coding RNA, 1758 nt
Organism: Ziziphus jujuba (common jujube)
Lineage: Eukaryota; Viridiplantae; Streptophyta; Magnoliopsida; Rosales; Rhamnaceae
Exons: 5
Source: RefSeq, a predicted model, not a curated record
AUAAAAUAAAUAAACAGAAUAUAAUUCUGGACAAUCCCUGUCUCUCUCUCAUUUUUCUCCUACCCUAACCAAAAUUUCUUAACUCCUAUCAUUCACUUCUCUACCCCAAGCGUCAGUCUCCGGCGAUUAUUUCCGGUGACUCCCUCGGUUCCGGAGACCCCGACAACUCCGGCGAUUCCUCAUAAAUUUGAUUCAUCAGAAAUGCUACAAUUUGCCGUUCCUCCUCGGAAGUUCCUUAUCGGAAAUAUAUCCAUUCAAAGGAAAUUAUCAUCGUCAAUUGGAUUUCAUGGAAAUGUAUUUCCAUGCUACCUCAACUAUCGAUAAACAGAUACAGAGAAUUGCAUUUCCACCUUGAGAAAGUAAUGAAGAAUGCAUGGACAGGGUCAGGUUCCCUGCCAAACUGGGGACUCAAGGGCAUGCCCAUGAUACCCAAGAGCUACUUAUGAUUAUGAAAAGAAAUUAUACAAUGAUCACCUUGAGUCAUUUCAGCUGAUGGAGAAGAACUAUAUGACCAUGCAUGACAUGAGAAGUGGAGAAACUCCAGGCAGAGUUACUGAGUACUUCUAAUGUUGGUAGAAGAACUGGCAGGCCCUAUGGUAGCACCCCUGGAAACGUGAGGAUGGCACUUUUUGGCAUCCUGUAGGACAAAAUGCUUAUAAAGAUGGCUAUGGUGGUCCCCAGGUUCGUCAUCUUCCAUCUUUUUGGUUGCAAUAUUGCUGUGAAGGAUAUAGAAGGAUAUGCAAAUAGAACAUGAUAAAGUUAUUUAUUUAAAUCGUGCUGCUUUUUGACUUUUUAUAUCCUGUUUAAUCCUCUACUUAAUGUCCUUUGAAUUGGUUGCCCUCAAAAUAUAUUGUAUUUAAUUGAUAUGUGAAUAACUGAACUUAAUUGUAAGAAUUCCAUCCUGAAAUGAAACUGAGAUGUCUUAACACUGUGAGACUGAAAUUUAAAGAUAGAGAAAUGUCUAUUAGCUUUUACUUUUGCAUGCUUGAUUUUGGUUCCCAUGUAUGUAAGAAUGUUGGACUAGCUUUCAUGGAUAAUUUAUAAAUGUUGAAAUUUCAUAUUGUGAGACUAUACCUUUACAUGCCUAUGUUCUUUACAAUUGUUCAAUGUCCUCCACUUGGAUUGGUAGGAGUUGCACAAGCAUUGUAUGUUUUAAAAUGAAAGACAGAGCACUUUUAGCUGUGUUUCAUGGAGAAAGUAAGAGUAGCUGUUACUUUCUGCAUUUUGUAAUAUAGGGAUACGGUCCUCUCCCAACUGUUAGUGCUGGUGCAGAUGUUAGUGCUGGUGCAGCUGGUGGCACUCCUUCUGUUGGAGCUCAAUCCUGGCCAGCUCCUCCAUGGACUGGCUAUGAAGCAAUAAUGGUUCCUGGUUAUGAUGCAUCUGUGGGCCCUAUAUAUGAUUCGCAAAGGGGAUACAGUAUGAUGUACAGAGGGACCUGGGUAUGAUGUACAAAGAGGACCGAACUAUGAUGCACAGAGAGAAGUAUGCAUGAUGCACAGAGGCCUGGAUAUGAUCUACAGAGAGGACCAGGUUAUGACAUGCAAAGAGGACGAGGUUAUGACUAAUCUAGAGGAUGAUUAAUGAAGCAUUUGGAGUUCACAAAUUGAAAAUAUGAAAAAUGUGAAACGCUAUAGUGGUGCAUUUAAGACAUUUCUGUAAAUAGUUUCUUCAAUGUAGGAUGUUUUGACCUAUUAUGGUUUGUAAUUUGACUAUUAAGAUUAAUCAAUUGAUUUUUAUAUAUAUUGCGCUUUGAAAUUA